This 477-nucleotide ribosomal RNA is filed under the name uncultured bacterium. Its description in RNAcentral is "bacterial SSU rRNA". It matches the Rfam family "Bacterial small subunit ribosomal RNA", at positions 501 to 981 of the family's 1533-position model. The record is from RNAcentral.
CUACGUGCCAGCAGCCGCGGUAAUACGGAAGGUCCAGGCGUUAUCCGGAUUUAUUGGGUUUAAAGGGAGCGUAGGCGGAUUAUUAAGUCAGUGGUGAAAGACGGUGGCUCAACCAUCGUUAGCCAUUGAAACUGGUAGUCUUGAGUGCAGACAGGGAUGCUGGAACUCGUGGUGUAGCGGUGAAAUGCUUAGAUAUCACGAUGAACUCCGAUCGCGAAGGCAGGUGUCCGGGCUGCAACUGACGCUGAGGCUCGAAAGUGUGGGUAUCAAACAGGAUUAGAUACCCUGGUAGUCCACACAGUAAACGAUGUAUACUCGCGGUUUGCGAUAUAAUGUAAGCCGCCAAGCGAAAGCAUUAAGUAUACCACCUGGGGAGUACGCCGGCAACGGUGAAACUCAAAGGAAUUGACGGGGGCCCGCACAAGCGGAGGAACAUGUGGUUUAAUUCGAUGAUACGCGAGGAACCUUACCCGGGCU